RNAcentral lists this long non-coding RNA (5995 nucleotides) under Heterocephalus glaber (naked mole-rat). RNAcentral's name for it is "lncRNA (ENSHGLG00100038484.1)". The record is from RNAcentral. Lineage: Eukaryota; Metazoa; Chordata; Mammalia; Rodentia; Bathyergidae.
AUUUUACAGGGAAUGUUCAAAAGUGGUUUCCUCUCAGCUCAGUAUAGUCCCUGUCCCUUAGCUAGCCUGAAUUGGUGUCUUAAAGCUGGCACACCUGUAUAGACAAGUGCUACAGCACUUCCCAGAUGGGGGUGCUGCUCCUUUCACAGGAAGCCCCAGUCCUUAAGCACCUCUCUUGUCUUUUCUUGUGUAUGCUGCUUAUUGAGUCUGUCACAUAGAUGAAGAUCCCAACUGCCCUUAAAAUACUCAUAUCCUAGCCAGGUGUGGUGGCACACACCUGUCAGCCCAGCACUCUGGGAGGCUGAGGCCGGAAGAUCACAAAUUUGAGCCCCACCAGGGUAACUUAGCAAGACCUGACAAAAUUUUUUAAAAGCUGGGCUGUAGCUCAGUCUGCAGGCCCUGGGUUCCAGCCAGUAUUGAAAAAAUGGAGGGCCGGGGAUUUAGCUCAGUUGUUUCAUUACCUGCUACGCAAGCGCAAGGACCCAAGUUCGAUCCCCGGUACCCCCCCCAAAAAAAAGAAAGAAAGAAUGGAUAAAUAUUCAUAUCCUAAAGCAGAAAUUUAUUUUAUUUACAUUUAAGAAAAAAGUGAAAAGUUAGGAAAAACGGUAUGUACCUUUUGUGUUAGCUCUGAAGAGAACAUAAGGAAUCACCACUCGCUUCUAUCCCAGACGUUUAGUGGCCUGGCCCCUUCGCUCUGUUGUUGCCAUUUUGCAUAGAGCACUUCAGGAUGACCAAGAUGUGACUUGAAAUGACUACAUUUCUUGGUGAAUUUGUUCAGAAACUGGAUGCUUCCCCAAUAUACAGCUGUAGCUUACACUACAAUUUUUUACUGACCAGAAAGUCACCUUGUACUUUCUCCAAUCAGAAAUGCUCAGAAAGAUCAUUUUUAAAGACUUUUAAAAAUUGUGCUAGUUUUAUUCCUUGCCUAACGUUGGAGGCAGUGGUUGCUAAAUUAGCGAUAGGUUUUCCUGUCUGUAAGACAAGAAACAGUGUUCAUGAACUGAAUGCAGAGCACUCUUCUAGCCGGGCAGCUUGUGGGGCAGCCCCUUGGCUGAUAAGGUUAAGGAGCUGGACGCUUUCAGGAUUCAGGGGUGUGGAGUGCAGCAUUUCUGAACUAGGGUGCUUGUUCCCCCAAGAACAGUUGGCAGUGUCUGGAGACAUUGCUGUCAGGAUUGCAGAGGUGGCAUCUGCUAAGCAGAGCAGAGACGCUGCUAGACAGCCUGCAGCGCCCAGGACCGUCCCCACAACAGAAUGGCCCGGCCCUGAUUCUCCCCAGAACACAGUGCCGAGGCUAGAGACCCUGCUGUGUGGCAGUCUUUGAAACGCUGCCCAGGUCCUUCCCCAUUUAGCACCCUGUACUAAAAUAUGAGGGUCCCAAACGCCACCUCAACAGUGGGCUCCUGGGCUAUGGGUGUAGUUCGGUGGGUAGUGAGCACUUGCCUAGCGUGCAGAAAGCCAUGGGUUCUAAACCCAGCACCGCAGAGAAGAAAGGAAAGGAAGGAUAAAACCAUGGGCUAUGCUCGAGUCUGUAGGUAACAUACAGCCUACAUCAGAGCACAGAAUUGUUGCCUUCUGAUCUCUGUUUCUUGGUGUGCUAGGCUUCCUGGAGGGAGACAGAGCUGAGCCGACAGGUUGAGCCCUGGGCUGCUGCCUCCAUUUCAACCAGAGAACCUCUGCUUGUAACUUGAGGUUUGAGUAAGACCAAAUGUGUUAAUAAAGAAACAGAGAGGGAGGGAAGGAAUUCGUUUUCAGCUUUAAACAAAGUUUGGUACAGUGAUCCAUGCAUAGCCAUGUUUAUAGCAGCAUAAUUCAUAAUAGCUAAAUCUUGGAAGCAUCCUGCAUGUCCAACAAUAGAUGAAUAGAUAAAGAAAAUGUGGUAUUUAUACACAAUGGAGCACUACUCUGCCAUAAAGAAGGAUAAAUGAGUCAUUUGUAGGAAAAUGGAUGUAUCUUGACCAUAAUGCUAAGAUGAACUAUAUCAGACAUGGAUGGUUAAAUAUCACAUGGUUUCUCUUAUAUGAGAAACCUAAAAUGUGAGUUAUUUAAAGAGUAAAAUAAAAGAGAUGGUAGAAAACAGGGAGGUAGACUGUGGAGAUGGGAAGGGAAUUUGAGAAUGAGGGGAGACAGGAGGGCAGGGAGGGGAAGGUAAAAAUGGUUGCGAUUCAAUAUAUAUGUGUACCAGUUCCCCAAGGUGAAUGCAAUUAUUAUAUCACAAACAUGUACUAAUAAACAAAAUUUUGAAAGCUAGUCCAGCCCCUUCUUAUUUUGCAGAUGGAAAACAAUGAGGUAAAAAAAACCUAACAGCCUCUCCAUUAGUUAUAACGCAGGAUCUAGACACCUUGUCUUCUGAUUUCAAGAUGGCAAAAUGAACCCGGGCACGGUGGCGCAAGCCUGUGAUCCUAGCACUCUGGAGGCUGAGGCAGGAGGAUCCCUGUGUUCAGCUCCCGACAGGCACUGAACGGCCAUGCCCGCAUCCAUGGUGGCACCAACCAGGUGACCAAGACCCGGGGAGCUGUCCCCUGCACAAAGCAGAAGCCAGGUGGUGCCCAGAGCGGGUACUGCUCGGUGAAGAGUUCGCCCUCUCACAGCACCACCAGUGGCGAGACGGACCCCACCACCAUCUUCCCCUGCAAGGAGUGCGGCAAGGUCUUCUUCAAGAUCAAAAGCCGCAAUGCACACAUGAAAACUCACAGGCAGCAGGAGGAGCAGCAGAGGCAGAAGGCUCAGAAGGCAGCUUUCGCAGUAGAAAUGGCAGCCACGAUCGAGAGGACUACGGAGCCAGUGGGGGCACCAAGGCUGCUGCCCCUGGGCCAGCUAAGCUUGAUCAAACCCAUCAAAGACAUGGACAUCCUCGAUGAUGAUGUGGUCCAGCAAUUAGGAGGCGUCAUUGAAGAGGCUGAGGUCGUGGACACCGAUCUGCUCUUGGAUGACCAAGACUCAGUUUUGCUUCAUGGUGACACGGAACUCUAAAGCCCUGUUUGUCGGUUCCGGACAGUGAGAACCCACGGCCUCCUCCUCAUGAAUCAGGAAACCUGGACUGCCCCUCUUGUUUUGUAAACCCUUUCAAACUACCUGUUUAAAAAAGUGGUCGUUUUAUUCAGGUUUAGAAAAAAAUCCAGUUUCUUCUCCUUUUAUUUUUAUAAUUGUUUCUGUUGGGGGUUGGGGGAAUAAAUAAUUGGCACAACUAUCUUUAAGAGGUGUUUCAUCUGGGCUACACCCUCAUGACCUCAUUCCCCAUGGGGAAUGAACCUGACAUUCAUGUUCUGUUGCUCUUAGGUGUCAACCAUUCUGGUAGCCUUCUGUUGCAAAGCUUGCUGGGAGAGUGUGUGCAUGUAUGUACGUGUGUAUACAUGAGGCAGGUGGCCCUCUUCGUGCUGGGGCUCUGGAUCAUCUUUUCUACCUGGAGUUAUUUUUAUUCUAUUCUGACCCACCAGGAAGUGUUCUUUUCCCCCAACAAAAUAGCUCAGAAGAGCCUGUUUUUUUGUUUGUGGUCAGUGGAGGUUUGAAAUUACUUUGUACCACUUGGACGUCCUGUGAAACUGCCUUCACUGGGAUUUUGCUAUCGUUCACACCUGGACUAAAGCUUAUCUAGAGGCUAGCUACAAAGAAUGAGUUUUCUAGACAUAAAUAAGGACAGCAAAUACAAGGGAAAUUGCAUUGAAGGCCAACAGAAACGGUUUCAGAUACACCUUAGCUACCAUUUUGCAUUCAAACCUGAAUGUAUUCUCUCCAAGUCACUUACCAAAGCAUUUCUAGAUUUCGCUAAGCUGCUAAGCUACAUGACUUUGCUCUGCCACCUCCUGCCCCUGGCAGCAGGGCUGCUAUUGGUACUCGAAGGCAAUAAACCUGUAACCCUUCAAAAAUGUCAUUGCCCAGGCUUUUGAACUGAGUCGGACUGACCCAGCCCACUGUUGGCAAAAGUCAGCCUGGGGCGCAGCCCCUCACAGAGAGGGGCUGCUCUUCUCAGCUCCCUGUCGGUGUUAAUGCUUCAUGGCCCCUGCUCCCAGGACCCCUUCUUAGGGUAGACCCAUCCCCCAGCACCGUGGCAGUGCCACUGUCUUGCUGGGCCUCUGGCUGGCACAUUGACAGCCUGACAGUGGAGAGGCCAUCAGCAGAGGCAAGGGUAGGCCUGGGCAUCCUUUGAAUUCAGCUCUGCAGGAGCAUUUAGCACACACCCAUGGGGCCAGCUGCAGUCAAACGCAGCCCCCGGGCAGUGGUUUCUGAAUCUCAAGAAAGCCACAGACAAAAGAAAAUAGAUUCACUCUGUUUCCAUUGUUUUGUUUUCAAAGAAGUUGUUUUGGAGAUUUCCUUCAUCUUUCCUUUAGAAAAAAAAAAGUUUGCUACCGUUUCAACAGGUUGUUCUAUCUUUGUGUUUUACCGAGGCAGUUUUGAGUUACGGAGUACCCAAGCAUUGUGCACUGGCUUCUGGCAGAGCUAUUAUAGAACCCUUCCAGCUGCCAGUUCAACAGCUGGUGAAGAAGUAGCCUCUUCCCACUGGUAUCUGAGGAUGAGUCCAGAAUGGUUCCGCAGUUGAGUCUAGCAAAGCUUGUCUGGAAAAGGAGCCAAUGCCCAGAAAAAUGCUUAGAAAGCACAUUUCCUCUUGUUUGGAGAUUUGCCAGUUCUUCCAGUGUUAAGCAUUAGAGAUGAGUUGUCACAGCAAAAAAAAAAAAAAAAAAGAUGCACAGUUUGAUUUUAAUUUUCCAUGCAGUAUAGUGUAUGCAUCUCUGACUUGAAAUAACCAAAGAACUCCUCCUUAAUGGGACAGUUCGAAUACCUGAAUUAGUAUUUCUCCAUUAUCAACUUAAAAAAUUGACUUCCUAUAAAAUUUUGCACUUGUUUUUUCCUGAAAUGAUUCUGCCUGCAUGUAUGUGCUGUGUCUCAAAUCUCCCUCCGCAGCCCACCCCAAAGAACUUUCCUCCCUGAUUGUUCAUGUCUUCAACAUGGUUACUGUUUACGAUCAGAUGGUUUUUCAUUCGUGCAUUUAGACCUCUUCGAGAAAGCUUGUAUAUAAAAAAGUUAACAGAUAUAUUUUAUGGAAAAACCCAUCUUAUUUUCAAAUAUAUUUAACUGCUGUUAUAUUUUAUUAGAGGAAGGUUGUAAAUAUUUUCUAGGAGUUCUAUUGUAAAGAAAAGUAUUUUUGAAAAAAAUUAAUGUAAUAAAAAGGAAAACAUUUUUAAAUAGCGGUUGUGAUUGCUUCCUGUUCUGGCUUCAUUAUGUUCUAUUCUCAGCAAAUGACUCGCAUGCCUUCCAUAUUGGGAUGUAAUUUAUUCAGGUUUGCACUAUUAUGUAAGUUGACAUCAUAAUAUCUAGUAUGCUUAACUGUACUUUCCCUGGAAUGCAGUUCCCUUGGUCCAUAUCAAAGCACUAUGUAUAGCAUAUUCAUAAUUUUCUUUUGUAAUGUGUGUAUUUUUAAUAAGGAUUUUAUGUAACAUUUUGGCCAAAAAAAAAAAAAAGAGGACAGUAUUUUCUAGUGAAUUUUAUAACAUUUUGCUAAAAAUGUUUCUUCCUAGGUCAGUUUUUGUUAAGGUGAACCAAAAGUCUUAUUUUACCAGGGGUUUGAAAAAAGUUUGAGGCUUGAAAGCAAAGUUAUAUUUAAACAUCAUAUGUAACAAAUAAAUAAAGAUGUUUUAUAGACUUGUCCUAAAAAGGUGCAUUCCUUAAAAAAAAAAAAAAAAGAAAGAAAGAAAAGAAAAGAAACUGGGGCAUUCUAGAUUGUUUUCCCAUUCUGAGUGUUAAGGAUUUUAAAAAAUUACCACAAUACUUUUCCAGGAAGAAAACCAGGAGAAUUUUAGUGAGGUUCCAGUCAUUCGCCUCCUCAGAAAUUUAUUACAGUUCCUACAGAUGGGCAUUCAUCAGAUAGAAAUGUAACCAAAUAUACACUGUCAUAUUUAUUUGUGAAAACCUGAUUCAAUAUUGCAUCAGCUGCUCUGAAAAUAAAAUAUCUUUUUUUGAGUUUCUCUUGGCUUAAAUAUUCCUUAUUUCUAGCCCCUGAAAU